CCCUGUCCUUAGUUGCCAUGAGUUGUCAGCUGUUGGGGGGAAGGAGAAAAUGAACUAUUGUAAGAAUGAUGCUUGCAUGCCAACUGGAACAAAGAGCUUGGGUUGCUGCCCCUUCCCCUUUGUUUUAGCUUUCUGGUUUUUCCCAGUCUUGGAGACAGCAGGACAAUUUCAAAAUCCUCUGCCCCUGAAGAAUUAGGGAUAUCGCUCUACCUUGGGAAGAGGAGUUUAGAAAAAUUCAGUGCAAAGCAGACUAACAUCUGCAUCUGUUCUUACAGAGCAUGUUGUGGCAAAGGGAAAACAACGAUACAUGCAGAGGCACGGUAUUUUUAUUCACGCUGAUGCUGGCUGUCUCUGCUUCAGCAGGUAUCCUUUUUCCAGAAGACACUGGACAAACUGAGCUGUUGCACUGGAGUGGAAGGACACCACUGGCUCCAAGUGGUACAAUCUGUUGUCUGCCUCUCACUAGAGAAGGGAAACUGAAGGCCUGAGUGCUGCACUGGACAGAGGUGCAAGCGG
Long non-coding RNA from Gallus gallus (chicken), 516 nucleotides. The record is from Ensembl. NCBI's taxonomy places the organism in Eukaryota, Metazoa, Chordata, Aves, Galliformes, Phasianidae.